GAAGAAGAACGCAGCAAAAUGCGAUAAGUAAUGUGAAUUGCAGAAUUCAGUGAAUCAUCGAAUCUUUGAACGCACAUUGCGCCCGCCAGUAUUCUGGCGGGCAUGCCUGUUCGAGCGUCAUUUCAACCCUCAAGCACAGCUUGGUGUUGGGACUCGCGUUAAUUCGCGUUCCCCAAAUUGAUUGGCGGUCACGUCGAGCUUCCAUAGCGUAGUAGUAAAACCCUCGUUACUGGUAAUCGUCGCGGCCACGCCGUUAAACCCCAACUUCUGAAUGUUGACCUCGGAUCAGGUAGGAAUACCCGCUGAACUUAAGCAUAUCAAUAAGCGGAGGA
This 332-nucleotide unclassified non-coding RNA is filed under the name soil metagenome. Its description in RNAcentral is "partial contains 5.8S ribosomal RNA, internal transcribed spacer 2, and large subunit ribosomal RNA". The stretch from base 1 to 120 matches the Rfam family "5.8S ribosomal RNA", at positions 35 to 154 of the family's 154-position model. The record is from RNAcentral.